GCAGAGGGCCUGGGAUUUCAGGCGGAAGGGUUUGGUCUCCCACGUGGAAGGCAGGAAGGAGCCAUUGGCGACAGCCGAGCAGAGUCUGACUGUGCCAACCGAUAUUUCAGAAUAAGCUGAGAGAGCUUAAGAGAGUGGAUUGGCACAGGCAAAUCUGAUGUUGAGGAGCCCGGGUUGGGGGUUAUUGCCACAGUGAAAGGCAGAGUUGCAAGGUUAUUCUCAGCUUUACCCCUGGAGCCAGAAGAGCUUGGAGCAAAUGUUGACUCAACUGCUUAUAGCCACAUGAUCUCAGGUGGAACCAGAGAUUCGUGGCUGCUGUGAGUAGGUGCUUCUGACGGGGAAAGAAGGACAAGAUGAGAGAUGACAAAAUGGAGGCUUUCAGAGAUGAAGCCCUGGUGACAGUCACAACCAGUGUCCUUUGAGAGCCCACUGCAAAGCCCGGGCUUCCUCUUGCCCAGUUGCUCGAAGAGACCCGACCUUUUCCUUCCAAGCCUGUAGGCUGUCUGGGAGACCUCUCCAAGCCAGCCACAUCCCGCUUCGGAGCAGGCCCGUUCCGUUGUUACAGACUCUCCACUAAGAUGCCCUCUUCCCUAAGCCUGUGGGGAGCCAGACAAGGCCUGGAAGGAAGGACCGAUACAGGGCUGUUCUUCCUCGCCCACGCUUCCCACCAGGAACUUCUGUGGAGCCAGAGUUUGCCGCCAGGACCCCCACAGGACCUGGGUGAAACAGGACCAUCUCUUAAGAGGCAAGAGCUCUUGAUUUGAUUGAGGAUUCUUAUUUUGGAGAACAAAGCAACUUCCAGAUUUGAGAAGACCUACAGUUGAAGAAGACACCAUUGUCCCGGAUCCCUUGUUCUUCCUUCGCGUGGGAAAUGUUUCUUGGCGGGUUCCUGGUCUUAAGACUCCCCCACACCGGCCCCGGGGAAGCCAAGGACUUUCUGCCACACCCUUCCUCGCCCCCCACCUCCCACGUCCGCUGUGCCUUUGGACUCGGCAAUUCUUCUUGUUUGCUCCAUUAUCUUCCAGCCGGAUACAGAGUGAAUAGUUAACUACCCGCAGGUCAAUGGGGUCUUAAUUUUUGUUCCUGCUCCCUCUACAGAGGCCAGUGUCUGUGUGUUGCUAUGCAAGCGGCCUUGGAAUUGCAUCCCUUCUCAUUGAUUUGGGAUCUGGCCCCCGCAGGUUCCAGAGCAAUGCGGGUCCAGGCAGAAAUUCUUCAGGCUCUCAGGAUGUUGGAGGGGGCGCUGGCCGCGAGCUGGACCAUGAAGGCUGGCGUUCCCCACAUUCAGCUUUCUUGGGUUCGGAUCAUAAGCAGGUGUAGAUCUGGAGAAGCAGAAAAUGAACACAUUUUCUACUGACACCGAUGCACGGUCAACGGUGAAGACCUUCUCCCAGCUAGCAUUUGGGUUCUGUGUCCAAACGCGGCGCUUCAUGGCAGAGUAUCCAGCCACCAGAGUUGGUGUGUCUUGAGGACCUGAAUUCUUGAGUGUGUGCUGGUGACACAGCCCUCUGACAGUCGAUGGGGCCUCACAAAACACAAGUCCUGCCUUUUCCUUUUCACUCUGUGGCCGUCAUACAUACGGCUAAAAACAUUUCCUAGAGAUCAGUCAUGGUUCAGUCGUGUCCAAAACGCAGAGCCAAAGAUGCAUUUUCUCUUUUCACAGCAAAUGAAUGACUUGCCUUCGGAAAAAGAAUGAAAGCCAGACAUUCUGCAUCUUUCCCGUGUUGUAGAUGAUGCAUUUGGAUGACCACUUUGUGACUUUGGUGUCUUAGAAGGGAAGCAGUGGGGUCCUUGGCAUCUCAGAUUCACCACAAAACAGACGAGGAGAACUUCUGGAGGAUGGUUUGUGCUUUUGAAAUGGGAGGCUUGUUUGUGGGCUUUUACCUUCCUUCCUUGACCUGCAGACACCUCAUUGCAUUAGAUUCCUUUGGGUUUUAAGAAGCAGAGACUUGCUGAUACUGCUCCGUACGUGCUGGUUUGUUUCGAGUUGCCAUGGACGUAAAGAAGAAAGGAAGCAGCCCGCCGAGGCGCUCUCCACCUAGGCCUGCCCAAGAAGCCCAAGUCGUUCCAGAUAGCCAGGGAUAGCAGAACCGAACCACCCUGGCCAUCUUGAUCUUCUGUUUGCACCAGCAUCCACUGUUCCCAGGAUCCUACCAUGGUGAUGAGCUGAGGGUGACUCAGUUGGCCCAGGACUGAGGAGUUUCCUGGGAUGCAGGACUUUUUAGUGCUAAACCUAGGACAGUCCUAAGCAAACUGGAACAACCAGUCACCCUACUGGGUGACUCGAGGACCCUGCCUCUCUUCUACUUUCCCUGCUGUGACUGGCUGAUGCUCUUGAUGGGUCUGGCCAGUCGCCAUUCAAAACUCUUGCGUCAGGCAACUUCAUUGGCCACUGGGCUACCUAUAGAUGGGUGCCCGUGGACCCAGCACCAACCCAUCUUGACCAGAUUUGUUGUUUCCAGGGUCAUAGGGUUGCAUAAUCUAGAAUAAAAGCCUGGCUGUAAACAACCAGCUGAGACCACUUCCUUCAGAAGACUGCUGUGGACAGGUGGCCCUGGCAGGCAUUCAAGGUAUCAGGGGUUCCUAUCUGAUACAACCCAACUUAUAAAGAUGGUAUUAACCUUUUCUAUUAAGAACCAAACAGUUCAUUAUGAAACAGAAACAAAUAUAGCCACUGGGAACAAGGGG
RNAcentral lists this long non-coding RNA (2685 nucleotides) under Sus scrofa (pig). RNAcentral describes it as "lncRNA (ENSSSCG00000033537.3)". The record is from RNAcentral. Lineage: Eukaryota; Metazoa; Chordata; Mammalia; Artiodactyla; Suidae.